This is a long non-coding RNA of Symphalangus syndactylus (siamang), 226 nucleotides long. RefSeq lists it as uncharacterized. The record is from RefSeq and is a predicted model, not a curated record. Lineage: Eukaryota; Metazoa; Chordata; Mammalia; Primates; Hylobatidae.
UGUGUUCCCUUAAGACCAUGUUGAAAUUUUCCAUUCCUCAAGGAUUUGAGAUCUACAAAGCCAGAGACUUUGUAACUGCACUGGGGAAAAGAAUAUAUCCAAAACUUUUGGAUUGCUCGACAUUAGAUGCUAACUCUGAGCUAAUACUAAUUUCCAGGGACCCAGAACAAACUUAUCAAUGGAUUUCAGGUUGUGAUGAUUAAUUUUAUGUGUCAACUUGGCUAGG